RNAcentral lists this ribosomal RNA (230 nucleotides) under uncultured bacterium. Its description in RNAcentral is "partial 16S ribosomal RNA". It matches the Rfam family "Bacterial small subunit ribosomal RNA", at positions 568 to 796 of the family's 1533-position model. The record is from RNAcentral.
CUCGUAGGCGGUUCGGUAAGUCGGGUGUGAAAACUCUGGGCUCAACCCAGAGACGCCACCCGAUACUGCUGUGACUUGAGUACGGUAGGGGAGUGGGGAAUUCCUGGUGUAGCGGUGAAAUGCGCAGAUAUCAGGAGGAACACCAGUGGCGAAGGCGCCACUCUGGGCCGUAACUGACGCUGAGGAGCGAAAGCAUGGGUAGCAAACAGGAUUAGAUACCCUGGUAGUCC